Pteropus vampyrus (large flying fox) is the source of this 129-nucleotide small nuclear RNA. Its record names the gene U4. It matches the Rfam family "U4 spliceosomal RNA". From Rfam's summary of the family: U4 small nuclear RNA (U4 snRNA) is a component of the major U2-dependent spliceosome. The structure of U4 snRNA from yeast and human has been reported. The record is from Ensembl. NCBI's taxonomy places the organism in Eukaryota, Metazoa, Chordata, Mammalia, Chiroptera, Pteropodidae.
AAGUUUGCGCAAUGGCAGUAUUAUAGCCAAUGAGGUUUAUCCGAGACGCAAUUAUUGCUAAUUGAAAAUUAUAUGAAAAUUUUUGCAGAAGUCUUUGAAAAUUGUAAUUUUCAGAGCUAGCAGCAGUUU